CAGUAGACAAGCGGUAGAGCCAGGAAUGAAAGAAAAAGGAGCAAGAAGGAACCUGCCUGACCUCAGGGCAAAUGACAGCAAGCAGUGGCGAAGGAGCCAGCCUGGUAACAAUCGGAGGAGACUGUGAUGACGAUUCUUCCGACUGGAACUUCCAGCAAUCUUAAAGGCUUUGCCUCUGGUUAUGAAUAUUAAAAAGGAAAAGAAGCUUUCAGCAAGUGCAGAGAAUUUGUGAUAAAUCACUAAGUCUUGGCUCAUAUUGAUUAAACGCAAUUCAUAAUUCA
Long non-coding RNA from Ornithorhynchus anatinus (platypus), 281 nucleotides. RefSeq lists it as uncharacterized. The record is from RefSeq and is a predicted model, not a curated record. The transcript is spliced from 2 exons. Lineage: Eukaryota; Metazoa; Chordata; Mammalia; Monotremata; Ornithorhynchidae.